This 73-nucleotide transfer RNA is filed under the name Setaria italica (foxtail millet). It matches the Rfam family "tRNA". Rfam says of the family: Transfer RNA (tRNA) molecules are approximately 80 nucleotides in length. Their secondary structure includes four short double-helical elements and three loops (D, anti-codon, and T loops). The record is from Rfam by way of RNAcentral. Lineage: Eukaryota; Viridiplantae; Streptophyta; Magnoliopsida; Poales; Poaceae.
GGGGAUCUAGCUCAAUUGGUAUAGCAUUAUAAGUGCACGUUAAAGGUAUGAGGUUCAAUUCCUUGCAUCUCCA